GACGAACGCUGGCGGCGUGCUUAACACAUGCAAGUCGAACGGAAAGGCCCUGCUUUUGUGGGGUGCUCGAGUGGCGAACGGGUGAGUAACACGUGAGUAACCUGCCCUUGACUUUGGGAUAACUUCAGGAAACUGGGGCUCAUACCGGAUAGGAGCUCCUGCUGCAUGGUGGGGGUUGGAAAGUUUCGGCGGUUGGGGAUGGACUCGCGGCUUAUCAGCUUGUUGGUGGGGUAGUGGCUUACCAAGGCUUUGACGGGUAGCCGGCCUGAGAGGGUGACCGGCCACAUUGGGACUGGGAUACGGCCCAGACUCCUACGGGAGGCAGCAGAGGAGAAUAGUGCACAAUGGGAGGAAGCCUGAUGCAGCAACGCCGCGUGCGGGAUGACGGGCUUCUGGUUGUAAACCGCUUUCGCCUGUGACGAAGCGUGAGUGACGGUAAUGGGUAAAGAAGCACCGGCUAACUACGUG
This 468-nucleotide ribosomal RNA is filed under the name uncultured bacterium. RNAcentral describes it as "partial 16S ribosomal RNA". It matches the Rfam family "Bacterial small subunit ribosomal RNA", at positions 28 to 507 of the family's 1533-position model. The record is from RNAcentral.